AUGCCGGCCAUGCUGGUGUCCUGGUGCCAGUGGAUGAUUGAUGGUUAAUGGGUGCAGGCCAAAGAAAAGGGGCUCUCACGGCACUGUCUUCUCAACAAUUAUGGAGCCUUUCUUUCCUCUGUGGAAAACGAGGAUUCGAUUGCCCCGGCGUCAUGACCUAUCCAGUGUCAUAACAAAAUCUCUCGCUCUCUCUCCUCUUCCCAGAUGAAGGAUAGGUAGUGUACAGAUGGGAGCCGUCAAUACCUCCUGAGUGAUGGAAACAGAAUUGAAAGUCCUACAUUUGCAUCCUGAGCCCGUCACAGCUGGAACACCGUUAGCCUCACUGACCAGAAGCCCGGGGAGUAUUUCGAAAAUUAAAUUGGAUGGGAAAAAAAGGAAGAUGAAUGUGUAUACAGGAAAUAUUUGGAUAGAUGUAAAAAGAACCGUUCACCAUGAAUUUUCCCCACAAAGAAAACAAAACUGACUUCAACAUCAAUAGGAAGGAAAAGCAUUUUUCACUGCAAUGUUUCUGGUGCAUUUAAAUUUUAGUAUCAACAUAUGGGUCACCGUUGAAAUAUGAGUUAAUAAAAUAUGUGAAAUAAAGGGUGCUGUCCAGGCACGGAAGUUCUGAGGGUAACAAUCAUGAAUUCUAUCAACUGUGAAUGUUCAACCUUGAAGAAAUGGGAAAAUCAGACAUAGUAAAUGACACAACACAAAGCAUUUGCUGAUACUACGGAGGACUGUUUUAUCACACAAUACGAGCAAGGGUGUCUGGUACAAAACUAGACCUGCUAGGUUUCCUCCGGCUGUGUGCCAUGGAUUCAUUUCAAGCUUCCUAGCCCUCCCCC
RNAcentral lists this long non-coding RNA (827 nucleotides) under Fukomys damarensis (Damara mole-rat). RNAcentral describes it as "lncRNA (ENSFDAG00000030819.1)". The record is from RNAcentral. Lineage: Eukaryota; Metazoa; Chordata; Mammalia; Rodentia; Bathyergidae.